RNAcentral lists this long non-coding RNA (258 nucleotides) under Rosa chinensis. RNAcentral describes it as "sRNA RchiOBHm_Chr2g0140981". The record is from RNAcentral. Lineage: Eukaryota; Viridiplantae; Streptophyta; Magnoliopsida; Rosales; Rosaceae.
CGAGCGGAGAUAGAGCGAUUUGGACUGGGUUCAGUGCGACUGGCGAGAGAAAGAGGCAAACAGAUCGAUCGAUCGGACUGGGAGUGCAGAUGAUGAUAGAUCAAGCUCGAGGUCUAGAGGUCUGGAGAACGAGAUAGGGGACUCGGGGUCAGAGAGCGAGGCAGGGGAACACGGGGUCAGAGACUGACGUCGGGGACUCGGGGUCAGGUCGGAGGCGGCUUGGAGAAUGAUGAGGUCGACAAGGUGAGGUCGACGAGG